AUGGCCACGGCUUCGUCGGAGCCGCUCCCCAGCGGCGAGGAGGGGGACGAGGAUGCGGGGGCGAGGAUCGAUGACGACCUUCGCGGCAUGUCGGACCAGGCGCUGAAGGAGAGGUUCAAACGCCUACAGGACGGGCUCAACAAAUUCCCCGGCGUCCUCCCGGACGGUGGGAAGAAGUACCGCCGCUCGCUCCGGGCCGUCCGCGGCGAGCUCGACCGCCGCACUCGCUUGGCCUCGGACUCGGCCUCUCUCCGGCCACGGCCGCGGCCGCCGCGUCCGCAAGGCCGCCUAGGCGAGCCGGAUGGCAAUAGAGGUGAACGGAUGAUCCAGUCAAGUUGUGCAGAACCGUCUGGGUUGUCUAGUAAAUGCAAUGAAAAUCAUGGAGUAACCAAAUCUGAUUUCCUUUCUGCAUUUGAGGUGGAUGAUGAGGCAGGCAUCGAUGUGGAGAUAACAAGUAUAUGCCCUGGCAAGACUAAAACGCCAGUAGAAAAUAAAGGGAAGUCGUAUGCAGUAAGUGAAUCUUGCAAAACCAAUGCACAACCAACGCCUCCCAAAGUAUUAUGUAUCGACAACUCAAUCGACGUGGAAAAUAUGUCUUCUGACGAUGACUUCAAGGAUAACGGCGAUAUUAGGACACGUGAAAAUGCUUCCACACCUUCUCGGAAAAGGAUAUUUCCAGUAUUCAUCAGUCAUGUCCCUAUGUAUUCCCCAGUUACUUCACCUGUUCCUACCUAUGCCAGGAAAGGAGAUGACUCAGUAAACUUCUCAAUGCGAUUGAGACCAAGAAAGGCUCAAGAGGUGGUUCUACUCGAUGCAGAUGCACACCAUUCAGAAUCUGCAGAGAAGCCAACCACUAAACGGGAUGCAAUGAAGAUAUAUUAUCCCUCAAGCGAACACUCAAAUUCUAUUGAGCUUUCUCAUGAUGACAUAAAAUGCCUUGAGCCUGAAUCGUUACUUUCCUCAACUAUAAUGAACUUCUACAUUAUGUACCUGCAAGGGCCAAUGUCAUCGAUUAGUACACAAAGAGGCAAGUAUCACAUUUUCAAUACAUACUUCUUCAAGAAACUUGAAGCCCUAAAAUCAAAGGUAGACAAGCCUUCUUAUUUCUUAAACCUGAGAAGAUGGUGGAAAGGCAUAGAUAUAUUUCAAAAGCCAUAUAUAUUAUUUCCUGUGCAUGCAGAUACUCAUUGGAGCCUGGUGAUUAUAUGCAUGCCAGCAAAGGAAGAUCAAUCAGGCCCCAUUAUACUUCAUUUGGAUUCACUGAAGUUCCAUAACAGCAGAUUGAUUUUCAGUGUUGUUGAGAGAUUCUUAAAACAAGAAUGGAAUUACCUGAAGGAAAAUGGGUCUUUAGCAGAAUGUCCUAUACGAGAAACGGUGUGGAAGAAACUUCCUCAUAAAAUUGAGAAGAAACCAAUUGCGGUUCCGCAGCAGGAAAAUGAAUUUGACUGUGGCCUCUUUGUUCUGUACUAUAUGCAGCGGUUCAUCGAGGAGGCACCUGAAAGGCUUCACAAGAAAGACCUUUCUAUGUUUGGCAAAACAUGGUUUCAACCUGAAGAGGCUUCUGCAUUGCGAAAGAAAAUGAAGACCCUGCUUCAUCAGUUGUUUGAGGAAGCGGAUCCCAGUAACGAUAGUACAUCGGAGCAGACAGCGUGUCAGUUGCUUUUGGAAGCUAAGCCUGCAAACAACGUGAUGGAGCUGGCAACGUCAGAACACCCUUUGGAAGUCAGUUCAGCUGAGAUUACAUCGCAGAAACCUUUGGAAGGCACUUCGACCCGACCAACUAGUUUUGAGCACCCUUUGGAAUGCAGCUGA
Molecule: ribosomal RNA, 1812 nt
Filed under: Triticum aestivum (bread wheat)
Lineage: Eukaryota; Viridiplantae; Streptophyta; Magnoliopsida; Poales; Poaceae
Description: partial small subunit ribosomal RNA
Source: RNAcentral